Molecule: ribosomal RNA, 389 nt
Filed under: uncultured euryarchaeote
Lineage: Archaea; Methanobacteriati; Methanobacteriota
Description: bacterial SSU rRNA
Rfam family: Archaeal small subunit ribosomal RNA
Source: RNAcentral
GCGCGAAACCUUUACAAUGCACGAAAGUGUGAUAGGGGGAUACUCAGUGCUUACGGUUCUGCCGUAGGCUUUUGUCGAUCGUAAACAGAUCGGCGAAUAAGUGGUGGGUAAGACCGGUGCCAGCCGCCGCGGUAACCCCGGCGCCACGAGUGGUCAUCACGUUUAUUGGGCCUAAAGCGUUCGUAGCCUGUUUGGUGCAUCUCUUGUGAAAUUGUUCGGCUUAACCGGACAGCGUGCAGGAGACACGGCCAGACUCGAGACUGGGAGGCGCAAGAAGUAUGCUGUGGGGACUGGUAAAAUGGGAUAAUCCACAGUAGACUACCGAUGGCGAAGGCAUCUUGCGAGAACAGAUCUGACGGUGAGGAACGAAAGCCAGGGGAGCGAACCGG